AAAUGGAGUGAUGCAUCUUAUAACUCAGGCAACUGACAAAUAGCAAAACAAGAAGAAUAAUUGUCGCAUGCCUUUCAUUCUCAUAUAUGAGUACAAAAUCAGUACAUAUGGCACCAUACAACAGAAAGUAUGAAUGUAUGAUUGGUCGAGUGGAAAUCAAACAGUACACACACCGUACGAAUCAAUACUGUGCUACAUUGAUCAAGAACUUGAAAAACCCAAGCACGUACGCUCGGCCUUUUAUUUUGGUCAUUAGGAAUUAAAAGUUGCGCUCGCCGUAUCACGUAACGUCGCGCGUACGAAUUAACGUGCACCAUGGACGAUGGACGAGGCUAGGCGGCAGUGACGGCGAUCUUCAUGCCGGAUUGGCAGUGUCCGGGGAUGCUACAGAUGAAGUAGUUUGUGCCGCGGGCGAGGGUGACGCGGUCGGCACCGGACUUGUACACCUUGGCGCCGUUUGCCGGCUUGGCGCAGGCCUUGUACCCCGCCGCGCUCACCGCCACCACGUCGUGCGCCGUCGCGUCGUACUUGAACACUGCAAGCAGCCAGAUUCACAUGCAUCAAAACUUCUUCUCAUCGGUGUGCAUGCAGAAAACUAUCAAUCCAUGCAUGCACGUAUAUAGGUACGAACCUAGGACGUCGCCGGCCUUGAAGCGCUUGCCGGUGGGCCAGGAGUUGGUGUUGAAGGACCAGCCGCCGCGGUCGCCGACGUUGAACACCGCCGCCUCCGCCACGAGAGUGCAGAGAAGAAGCACGGCAAGGAGCACGGCCACGUUGGCACUGCCUCCUCCCCGUGCGGCCAUUGCUAGCUAGCUUAGCUAGGAACGACUACCGAUCAAUUACCAACUCAAGAAGUAGCACGUACGAGGAGAGAGGCAGGUUGAGAGGAGAAAUGCUGAGAGGGAGGUGCGGUGGUGGUUGGCAAUGGACUAGCCGGUGCGGUUUUAUAGGCCCGCCGGUGUGGAGGCGCGAGGGCAACUAGGCCAAAAGGUGUGUGGAAAUACUGGUUUUCUCGGUAGUGCAGCAUUUUUCUGAUGGAAGCGUAGAGUAGAAUGUAGUGGAGUGGAACGGGGGUUGGCCAACGACCCACAACAUUGGAGGCGCCAUUACUUUCCGAUGUUGGACGGCGACGAGUCCUACACCGGUAGACUUUGAGGAGAACGUUGGAUGGAUGGGAGACGUGACGACUCCAACCCGGCCACUACUUAGCGUGCGUGCUGGGAAAACGAUUAACUACGAAAAGAUGUGGAAAUGAAAACACCACGCGUUUUAAUUUGUAAUAGACUUCUUAGUGUUGGAUGAACUAUGGUGCUGUCCAUCCCAAAAAAAAACUAUGGUGCUGUCAGGUUUUCGCCCCAUGGUGUUCGUUACGAUGACGAGCGAACGCAGUGGGUUUCUUGGCAGUGCUCAAACUCGCUGUACCUCUUUCCCUUUCCUCCUGCUGUUCUCGGUACUUUGUAUUUCCGUUCAUUUGCAAUGAAAAGGGGUCAUGCCCGGUUCAAAAAAAAAAAUGAAAACACCACGCGCGCCAAAGUGGCGUUCAAAUAUACUUGGACAGCGCACCAUGUACGUAUGAUAAUAUAAUCCAUCUCCCAAUUCUCUCUCAGGGCCGGCCCUGGGGCAUGGGCAAAGGGGCGGCGGCCCAGGGCCCAGGCCGAAGGGGGGCCCAUGAUGUGUAUACAUAUAGAGUAUAAGCAAAAAAAUAGAUAAAGAAAAAAUUGUGUGGAAAAAUAAAUGAGAUGUGCUUGGUGUCGUGGUUCUAAGCCUGACAGUAGAGUGGGGGGUAGGAAUGGAGAGGCAAGGUCCUAGCUAUGGAGAGGUUGUAAACACCAGGGAUGUACGAGUUCAGGCCCUUCUCGGAAGAAGUAAUAGCCCUACGUCUCGGAGCCCGGAGGCGGUCGAGUGGAUUAUGAGUAUAUGAGUUACAAGGUGCCGAACCCCUCUACCUGUGGAGGGGGGUGGCUUAUAUAGAGUGCGCCAGGACCCCAGCCAGCCCACGUAGGAGAGGGUUUAAGGUGAGUUAAGUCUGGGGCGUUACUGGUAACGCCCCACAUAAAGUGUCUUUACUAUCAUAAAGCCUACUUAAUUACAGGCCGUUGCAGUGCAGAGUGCCUCUUGACCUCCUGGUGGUCGAGUGAGUCUUCAUGGUCGAGUCCUUCAAGUCAGUCAAGUGAGUCCCUCGUUGGUCGACUGGAAGGCGACCUCUUCUAAGGGUGUCCUUGGGCAAGGUACUUAGAUCAGGUUCAUGACCCUACCCUAGGUACAUGACCCCAUCAUUAGCCCCCGAAUGGAUUGAGGCUUCGAGUGAGGAAGGAGUUGAUGUUGUUUCCGAUUAACCUUUGCACACUGGUCGUGCGUUGUUCUGGACCAAAGAAUCUCUUCGUCGAUAGUGAGCAACUUGUCUUCAGUCGACUCGAUCCAUUCUCUUCUUUCGUCGAGUGAUCUUUCGGGCUUCGACGAUCCCCGAGCGACGGAUCGCGGGAAACCCCGCGUCUGACAGACUGAUCUGCUGUUCGCGGAUUCCGCGGGAUGCGAAAUUUGGGGACGCGCGCGAAGCGGAGCGGACCGCGGCGUUCGGAUGGGACGGGACAUAGACGCCUCGAUCUCCGCGCCGCUUUCUUCGCCACGUAUCCCGUCUGCAUAACUGUUCCUGGAUAUGAUUAGAUCGACCGGGCCCACCUGUCAUCCACUCGGAAGGGAUCUUAUAAAUGCGCCCGGCGAGGAUUUUUGUACUGUGCCUCAGCAUUCUCUCUCUUUCUGCUCCCUUCGUCCCCGUCCAGCGCGCUCGCUCUCGCCCCCGCACAACUUCCCCUCGCGCAUCUCGCCGGCAACCAUGGCCAAGGAGAAGACGGCGGCGCUGGAACAUGCGAAGAAGGCGUCGGCGUCGGAGAAGGCGAAGGGGAGAUCUACCAGCCGCGGCGGGUCUUCGUCCAGAUCUCGCCUGCCGAAGGGCUGGGUCCAAGGAGACUGGAUCCAGUCGACCAUCACAGAAAAAGAUCUCCUCGACAUGGCCAACGAGGGCUUGAUCCCUCAUGGAGCUGCGAGGCUUCCGGGGAAGGAGUGGCAGCCCCAGCCAGAAGAGGGUGAGUGUGUGCUCUUGGCCACCCAUGUUGAUCGUGGAUUUUCUUUGCCGCCGAGUAUUUUCUUCCGUGGCUUCUUGAACUUCUUUGGAGCGCAGCUCCACCACUUUACCCCAAAUUCUAUCGCCUAUCUUGCCGCGUUCGUGUCCAUGUGUGAGGGUUUCCUGGGCUGUCGACCGUACUGGGGUUUGUUCAAGCAUAUAUUCACGUGCCGCUCUCAGACCGUGAAGAAGGCGAGCCCAGGCGAUGAAAGAACCCGAGUCGUCCAAAUGUGUGGGGGCCUGGGGAUCCAGGUGAGGAAUAAGAGCACCUUCCCGCCCAUGACCUUUCCCGAGUCAGUCAGAGGCUGGCAGUCGACCUGGUUCUACUGCCAGGACCAGUCGACGCCGGGGCAAUCGAGUGGACUCCCUCAGUUUACCAUGGACCGAGUGAACAAGCCCUCCUCUCUGAAGUUGAUUCCGGAGGAGAAAGCUGACGUGAAGAUGUUGAUGGAGCGCGUGGUGCAGUUGGUUCGGGAGGGAGUGACUGGCAUGGAUCUCCUGGAGGUCUUCCUUAGGCGUCGCAUCCAGCCCCUUCAGUUCCGGAGCCACUGCAUGUGGUUGUACUGUGGGACUGAAGACGAGACUCGAGUCCAUCCAGAAGCAGUCGACGAUGUCACUCUGGAAAGAUGGAUGGCAGCCGUUACCGGAAACAAGGAUAACCCACGCGGAGCCAGAAGGAUUCCUCCACUCGACCACAACAGCGAUCCAAACAAGGUACGUUUGCUCUGCUCUCCACUGUGUCCUUGUCACAUUCGUUUCUGUUUAUCCUGCCGACUGGCCGAUUGAUCCUUGUCUGGAUAUCUACCAGGCCCUCACCGAGCUAUACUCGAUGCCCAACGGGGCACAAGCUCCGACUGAGGAGGGUGAGGCGAGUGGGGGCGAGAGCCAGGAGGAGGAGGAAUGGGACUCGGACGUUGCUGAGGAUGAUGAUGACGAUGAUGAUGAUGACGGUGAUGAAGAUGACGUUGAAGACGAGGAAGAAGAGGAGGAGGAGGUCGUACCACCGCGCUCAGAAAGGCGGUCGAAGCUUGUCCACGACCCCUCGACUGAACGUGGCAAGGGGGUUGCGACCGUUGCUCAGUCGACCAAGCGCCCUCGGACCACCUCUCCGGUGCCGACUGAAAAGGCGCCGAAGCAGCCCAGGGCGGCCUCGUCGAAGCCGAUCAAGCUCCUGCCGAAGAUGAAGGUGUCCAUCCCCACCAUAUCAGGUAAUCGUGCUGCUUAAGUCUUCUUAUUUUGUGUGAACUUUGUCUCUGGUUGACGCUGAAGUUAGUCGACUGAUUCUUUGGAGUUGCAGUGCUGCUACUUCUGAGACCUCAGCCCGGGCUGAUGACCAUGAGAUGGAGGACGUAGCAACUUCAAAACCAGGUACUAUAUUCUUAACGCCGUUUUUAGUCGACUGACUUGCGAUCUCUGAUCCUGAUUCUUCUUCGUAGCUCCACCCAAUGCUGUUAUCAAUCUCCCUGAUGAUGAUGAGGAUGAGGAACUGCUGAAGCGCAGAAGGAGUAGAAAAGCGUCCGCCAGCAAGGUGCCCCAGGAUGUGACGGCGCCUGAGAUUCUGAUUGCAGAGGAAGAGAACACCACUCGACACACGGUGUCCUUCGCAGAUCCAUUGACGAGUGCUCAGCAGCCCUCCCUCUUCACGACGCACCACGUCCCAGAGGACCAAGCUGGCGCGGCGAAGGAGGCGAUACGCCAGGCGGGAAUCACGAUGGAGCAAUUGAAGACUAUCCGGGAUGCGAGCCAGGCAGCUUAUGACGCCAGUUCUGCCCUCCAAAGAAAUGUUUAGGUCAGUCGACCACCGUUUGUUCUGUUGGAUACGCUACCAAAAACUUUUCCUUUCCGGAAUUUAUAGUAGUCACCCAGUGGGUGUGUCGAUUAAACUCCGUGUUAGCGGGGGCACGCUGAGUGCACCCGCUGGGUGUAGUCCCCCAGGCUAAGGUCGACUGCUGGCAGUCGGCCUUAGGCUUUAUGAUGUCAAUCUUUCUGUCAGUCGACUAUGUCGACUGGAUUUCACAAACCGGUGGGGGCACGCUGAGUGCACCCAUUGGGUGUAGUCCCCGAGACUGUGGUCGACUGCUUGCAGUGGAUUACAGUCUUAAAGAAUACAUCUCUCUUUUUUUUUGAGGUCGACUGGUCGACUUUAUCUUCAACAGGAUUAGUGGGGGCACGCUGAGUGCACCCACUGGGUGUAGUCCCCGAGACUACGGUCGAAUGCUUGUAUUCAGCUGUAGUCUUAGAAACGUGUGAUUUUUCCUUUUUCACUCGGAAGUGAAUUAUAUUUGACAUUUAGUCGAUUGGUUCUUCGCAGAACUCCUGUGAUCUUGUGGCUCGCUACUCUGAGCUGGAAAACAAGCACACUCAACUCGAGCUGAGCUUGAAGCUGGUUCAGGAGAAGCUGACGAAGGCAAAGGAGAAGACCGAAGGUAUGUUUGGUGAGACCCUGACGACUGCUUUUCCCCUUGCUUGUUUCAAAAUCUGAUCUUGCUGUAUCUUGCAGGUAAGGUAAGGGAGGCCCAACAGAAGAAAGACCUCGAACUAGCUGAGAAGAUCAAGCUUGCUGACGAGAAGUUAGCUUCAGUCACCAAGCUUGAACAAGACAAUACCAAUCUGAAAGCUGCUCUUGGGAUCGCCAACAAGGAGGUCAGUCGACUAAAAACUGAUAAAGCUGCCCUGACCGACCAAGUCAGCAAAUUGACUGGGAAGAAAAAUGAUCUGGAGGCCUUCCUGAGUGGUCUUGCCAAGAAGCUGUUUCUUAUGCUUGAAGGUAAACCUCUAUGCUCGGCAAACAUUUCCAAUCGUGGUUUUUCCAUUCGACCAUCCCCUUGACUCAGUGAUCAUCCUUGCAGAAUUUUGUCGAAACUUUGAAGAAGAAACUAGCCGGCUGGAGCCAAACCUCGACCCCGUCAAUUCUCCGGUGAACGACGAAGUUGCCAUGGAUGUUUUCCGACUGGAGUCUCGUGUUGCAGCUGUCGUGGAUUAUCUCGCAAGGCUGAAGGCCGCCACAUCUCGCAUCGACUCGACGCUCUGGCCUGAGGAGACACUUCGGAAUGACCUUGAGUCGCUGAUGGCCCGCUUGAACACGAUCCCUGGUCGAGUGCAGGAAUGGAAGAAGUCCUCGGCUCGGUGUGGUGCAGAUGUUGCUCUGUGUCUGGCCCGAGUCCACUGUAAAGAUGCGCGAGAAGAGAAGCUGGCGGCCCUUCGGGUGGCCAACACCAAGAAACACGACUUCAGGUCCUUUAUGGAAACUUUCCUUGCGGCUGCCACUCGGAUCGCCGACGGAAUUGACCUUGAUGAGUUCGUUGCACCUUCCAGCCCUCCACAGGAGGGUAAAAAACUUCUUCUGGCUCGACGCUUUAAAUUUGCCUCGGUAUGCCGAGUGGAAUUGUAACCGAUAAACCUUAACAGGCUUAACGCCUGAGCACUUUCGGUUCCUUUAGAUAUCGAUUCAAACUUGAAUUUGGUGCUUGAAUACGAUUGCUUUUGGCUCGAAAUGUCUUUUGCAGGUUCAAAGCAAGGCGCCUUUACUGCAAUCGACUUAUUCUUUAGUCCACUUAGGCGAGCACUGGGCUGCGGCUAAGCCUCCGAGUGGAAGCCCGGCUUACCACUCGGUAGGAUUUCUAUAACUUAGGCGAGCAUUGGGCUGCAGCUAAGCCCCCGAGUGAGGGGUUUAGUCUUCACUCGGUAGGAUUUUGAUAACUUAGGCUAGCACUGGGCUGCAGCUAAGCCUCCGAGUGAGAGGUUUGCUCUUCACUCGGUAGGAUUUUUAUAACUUAGGCUAGCACUGGGCUGCAGCUAAGCCUCCGAGUGAGAGGUUUGCUCUUCACUCGGUAGGAUUUUUAUAACUUAGGCGAGUGCUUGGACUGCAGCUAAGCCUCCGAGUGAGAGGGUUGCUCUUCACUCGGUAGGAUUUUUGUAACUUAGGCGAGUGCUUGGACUGCAGCUAAGCCCCCGAGUGAGAGGCUUGCUCUUCACUCGGUAGGAUUUUUUACAACUUAGGCGAGCACAGGGCUGCAGCUAAGCCCCCGAGUGAAAGUCUGGCUUACCACUCGGUAGGAUUUUGAUAACUUAGGCNNNNNNNNNNNNNNNNNNNNNNNNNNNNNNNNNNNNNNNNNNNNNNNNNNNNNNNNNNNNNNNNNNNNNNNNNNNNNNNNNNNNNNNNNNNNNNNNNNNNNNNNNNNNNNNNNNNNNNNNNNNNNNNNNNNNNNNNNNNNNNNNNNNNNNNNNNNNNNNNNNNNNNNNNNNNNNNNNNNNNNNNNNNNNNNNNNNNNNNNNNNNNNNNNNNNNNNNNNNNNNNNNNNNNNNNNNNNNNNNNNNNNNNNNNNNNNNNNNNNNNNNNNNNNNNNNNNNNNNNNNNNNNNNNNNNNNNNNNNNNNNNNNNNNNNNNNNNNNNNNNNNNNNNNNNNNNNNNNNNNNNNNNNNNNNNNNNNNNNNNNNNNNNNNNNNNNNNNNNNNNNNNNNNNNNNNNNNNNNNNNNNNNNNNNNNNNNNNNNNNNNNNNNNNNNNNNAAACUUAGGCGAGUGCUUGCACUGCAGCUAAGCCUCCGAGUGAGAGGGUUGCUCUUCACUCGGUAGGGUUUUUGUAACUUAGGCGAGUCCUUGGACUGCAGCUAAGCCCCCGAGUGAGAGGUUUGCUCUUCACUCGGUAGGAUUUUGAUAAACUUAGGCGAGUCCUUGGACUGCAGCUAAGCCUCCGAGUGGAAGUCUGGCUUACCGCUCGGUAGGAUUUUGAUAACUUAGGCGAAACGGAUUCGCAGCUAAGCCUCCGAGUGGGAGUCUAGCUCACCACUCGGUAGGAUUUUUACAAACUUAGGCGAAACGGAUUCGCGGCUAAGCCUCCGAGUGGGAGUCUGGCUCACCACUCGGUAGGAUUUUUACAAACUUAGGCGAAACGGAUUCGCGGCUAAGCCACCCACUGAGGGGGAAUUUUAUUGGACAAAAAUAAAAAGUGACAGAAAUUAUGGAGGAACUAUGACACUAUUAUUUUGAGGUCCAUGAACUACAGAAGUACUUUAUUGCAACUUAUCCGAGUGAUAAAACUUAAGUAUAAAAUGGGCAGAGUAGUUCCGCGUUCCAAGCUCGGGGCUCAUCGAUGUUAUGCUCGACGUUGUAAAGACGGUACGCCCCGUUGUGGAGAACCUUGGUGACGAUGAAGAGACCUUCCCAAGAAGGAGCAAGCUUGUGUGGUUUGUGCUGAUCCACUCGGAGAACUAAAUCUCCUUCCUGGAAGGCUCGACCUCUCACAUUUCUGGCGUGGAAACGACGCAAAUCUUGUUGGUAGAUGGUCGACCGGAUCAGAGCCAUCUCCCUUUCUUCCUCUAAAAGGUCGACUGAGUCCUGCCGCGCUUGUUCAGCCUCUGCUUCAUUGUAGAUUUCAACUCGAGGAGCAUUAUGGAGAAGAUCACUCGGCAAGACUGCUUCAGCUCCGUAGACCAAGAAGAAUGGAGUUCUUCCGGUCGACCGAUUAGGUGUGGUCCGCAGCCCCCAAAGCACUGAGGGAAGUUCGUCGACCCAAGCUCCAGCCGCGUGUUUGAGAUCACGCAUCAGUCGGGGCUUCAAUCCUUUAAGAAUCAGUCCAUUAGCUCGCUCUGCUUGUCCAUUCGACUGCGGAUGGGCGACUGAAGCGUAGUCGACCCGUGUGCCUUGGGAGUUACAGAAAUCUCUGAACUCCUCCGAGUCAAAGUUUGACCCAUUAUCCGUAAUGAUGCUGUGCGGGACUCCAUAUCUGAAUAUUAGUUCCCUGAUGAAGCUAACAGCAGUACCGGUGUCAAGGUUCUUGAUUGGUUUAGCCUCGAUCCACUUGGUGAACUUGUCGACUGCCACCAGUACAUGCGUGAAGCCGCUUCGUCCCGUUCUCAAAGGACCGACCAUGUCCAAUCCCCAUACUGCGAAAGGCCAGACGAGUGGGAUGGUCUUCAGAGCCGACGCAGGCUUGUGCGACAUAUUCGAGUAGAACUGACAUCCCUCGCACUUAUCCACUAUCUCUUUUGCCAUCUCAUUCGCCUUUGGCCAGUAAAAUCCGGCUCGGUAUGCUUUGGCCACGAUGGUCCGAGAGGACGCAUGAUGACCACAGGUCCCCGAGUGGAUAUCAUUGAGGAUGAGUCGACCUUCUUCUGGUGUUAUGCACUUCUGGCCAACUCCAGUCGCGCUUUCUCUGUAUAAUUGACCUUUGAUUACGGUAAAGGCCUUAGAUCGACGGACGAUCUGUCGAGCCUCUUCCUCAUCCUCCGGAAGCUCUUUCCUCAGGAUAUACGCGACAUAUGGAACCGUCCAGUCGGGAAUGGCCACCAAGACCUCCAUGAUCAAGUCGACCACCGCUGGGACUUCAAUCUCAGUCGGAUCUGUGGCACUCUUGGGCUGUGGAGUUUCUUCGGUGAAAGGAUCUUCUUUGACUGACGGAGUGUGUAUAUGCUCCAAGAACACACCACUCGGAAUGGCUUCUCUCUUGGAACCUAUCUUUGCUAGAUCAUCAGCUGCUUGAUUUUUCAGUCGGGGUAUAUGAUGGAGCUCCAACCCCUCAAACUUCUUUUCCAGCUUCCUCACUGCACUGCAGUAUCCAGUCAUGGCUGGGCUUCUCACGUCCCACUCCUUCAUCACCUGGUUGACCACUAAAUCCGAGUCGCCAUAGACCAUCAGGCGACGGACGCCGAGUGAAAUGGCCAUGCGCAACCCAUAUAAGAGGGCCUCAUAUUCUGCCUCAUUGUUGGAGGAAUCAAAGUGAAUCUGGAGCACAUAUCUGAGCUUAUCUCCUCUGGGGGAAACCAGGACAACCCCAGCACCGGAACCAUUCAACAUCUUAGAGCCGUCAAAGAACAUGGUCCAAUGCUCCGAGUGAACUUCAGUCGGCUGCUGCUGUUCAAUCCACUCGGCGAGGAAAUCUGCUAUUGCCUGGGACUUAAUGGCUUUCUUUGCCUCAAACUUGAUAUCAAGGGGAAGAAGUUCAAUUGCCCAUUUGGCCACUCGACCAGUUGCAUCUCUGUUGUGCAAAAUCUCUGAUAGUGGAGCGUCGCUGACGACUGUGAUGGAAUGAUCAGAAAAAUAAUGAGCAACCUUCUUUGUGGUCAUGUAUAUUCCAUACACAAGCUUCUGAUAAUGAGGAUAUCUCUGCUUGGAUGGAGUCAAGACUUCAGACAAAUAAUACACUGGGCGCUGAACUUUGAGAGCUUUUCCUUCUUCUUCCCGCUCGACCGUAAGCACAGUACUGACGACUUGUCCUGUGGCUGCGAUAUAGAGCAACAGAGGCUCUUUUCUGAUUGGAGCAGCAAGCACCGGCUGGGUGGAGAGCAGAGCUUUUAGCUCGGCAAACGCUGCAUCAGCUUCUGGAGUCCACUCGAACUUGUCUGUCUUCUUCAUCAGUCGGUAAAGAGGCAAUGCCUUUUCACCGAGUCGUGAGAUGAAUCGACUUAAUGCGGCCAAGCAUCCAGUAAGCUUCUGGAUAUCGUGCACUCGCACAGGGUGUUUCAUUCGGAGAAUAGUGCCAAUCUUCUCUGGAUUAGCGUCGAUUCCCCGUUUGGAAACGAGAAAACCGAGUAACUUGCCACCAGGAACUCCAAAUGUGCACUUUGAUGGAUUGAGCUUGAUAUCAUAUCUUCUGAGGUUGGCAAAUGUUUCGGCGAGAUCAGCGAGCAGGUCGGAACCUUUUCGUGACUUGACAACGAUAUCAUCCAUAUAUGCUUCCACAUUCCGACUGAUUUGAGUGAGUAGACACUUCUGAAUCAUUCGCAUAAAUGUGGCUCCGGCAUUCUUGAGGCCGAAUGGCAUGGUGAUAUAGCAGAAGCACCCGAAUGGAGUGAUGAAAGCUGUUUUUACCUCGUCGGGUCCGUACAGACGGAUCUGGUGGUACCCGGAGUAGGCAUCUAGAAAAGACAGUCUCUCGCAUCCCGCGGUCGAGUCAACAAUUUGAUCUAUGCGAGGGAGAGGAAAAUGAUCUUUCGGGCAGGCCCGGUUGAUGUGCUUGAAAUCAAUGCACAUUCGGAGCGACUUGUCCUUCUUAGGAACCAUGACGACAUUAGCGAGCCACUCGGAGUGGUAUAUCUCUCGGAUAAAUCUUGCCGCCAACAGUCGAGCCACUUCCUCACCAAUGGCUUUUCUCUUCUGGACGGCAGACCGCCGAAGAUGCUCUUUGACUGGUUUUGCAGAUGAGUCGACUCUUAGGCGAUGCUCAGCCAGUCCCCUGGGAACACCUGGCAUGUCAGCGGGCUUCCAUGCAAAAAUGUCCCAGUUCUCACGGAGGAACUGGAUGAGCGCUUCUUCCUAUUUUGGGUCGAGUGUUGUGGAGAUGCGGGUCGGAGCUGCAUUGGGGUCGGUCGGGUGAAUGUGAACAGGCUUCGUCUCACCGGACGACUGAAAUGCAGACUCUGUGGCGGGUUUCUUUGAUCGCAGCAAGUCACUCGGAUCUGCAUUUUGCUUAUAUUCUUCGAAUUCGACCACUGUCACCUGGGAAUCGGCAAUCUUUGAGCCCUUCUGAAAGCACUCUUCUGCCUUUUUCCGAUCACCGGUGACAGUGAUCACUCCUUUGGGGCCGGGCAUCUUCAAUUUGAGGUACACGUAACAUGGUCGAGCCAUGAACCGUGCGUAAGCUGGUCUCCCCAAAAUGGCAUGAUAUGCACUCUGAAAAUCCACGACCUCAAACGUCAACUUUUCUUUGCGAAAAUGCUUCGAAUCACCAAACACCAUGUCCAAAGCUAUUUGGCCGAGUGACUCGGCUUUCUUCCCUGGUAUAACUCCAUGAAAGCUCAUGUUACUAGUGCUCAGUCGGGACAUCGGAAUGCCCAUUCCUUUCAGUGUGUCUGCAUACAACAAAUUCAGCCCGCUUCCACCGUCCAUCAGCACUUUUGUCAGUCGAGUGCCUUCGACAACUGGAUCGACCAUCAAAGCUUGCCUCCCAGGGGUGGCAAUAUGAGUCGGGUGAUCAGAUUGGUCGAAUGUGAUGGGUAUUUGAGACCAUUUCAGAUAAUUUGCUUUUGCUGGGGCAACCAUGUUCACCUCUCGGUUAAUGACUUUCAGUCGACUCCUGCUUUCCACAUCUGCAAAGAUCAUCAGAGUGGAGUUGAUAUGCGGAUAUCCUUCCUCACUGUCCUCCUUGUCUUCGGCCUUGUCCGACUCCUUCUCCUUGUUCUUAGACUGUUUUCCCUGAAACUGCUGGAUCAAGAGUCGACAUUGGCGAGUGGUGUGCUUCGGGUAGAUGAUAUUCCCCUCUUCGUCUUUCUUCGUGUGGAUGUGACAUGGCAUAUCCAUUACGUCGUUCCCUUCUUUAUCCUUUACCUUCUUGGGGUUCCAGGAUCCUUUUGGUUUCCCCUUAAACUUUCCCUGAGUCACGGCCAGAGCCUCUCCAGGAGCUGCCGGUUCAGCCUUCCGCUUCUGUUUCCGACUGGUGUUUCGUUUUUCCGACUGACUCGGCUUGUGCUUGCCGCUUUGGAGUCGGUCUUCUUCUUCGCCGUUGGCGUACUUGGUAGCAAUCUCCAUCAUCCGACUCAAGGUCAUGUCACCGGUUCGACCAAACUUCAAACUCAGUUCUCUGUUCUUGACGCCAUCUUUGAAGGCGCAGACUGCCUGAUGAUCAGACACAUUCUCCACAGUGUGGUGCAAAGUGAUCCACCUCUGAAUAUACUCUCUGAGAGUCUCAUUAACCUUCUGCACGCAGACUUGCAACUCUGUCAAUCCAGCUGGUCGCUUGCAAGUUCCUUCAAACGUUCUGAUGAACACUCGGGACAGAUCUUCCCAAGUGUAAAUGCUGCUAGGAGGUAAUUGAGUCAACCAUGCCCUGGCAGAACCUUCCAGCAUGAGGGGCAAAUGCUUCAUGGCCACCUCGUCGUUCCCACCACCAAUCUGAACUGCCACUCGGUAAUCUUCAAGCCAAGUUUCAGGCUUAGACUCACCAGUGAACUUGCUGACUCCUGUUGCCAACCUGAAAUUGGGAGGGAUAACUGCGGCUCUGAUAGCUCUGCUGAAACAUUCAGGACCAGAAACAUGCACUCGACUGCUUGUGGGUGCAUCUCUGUCGAGUCCGCCUCGAUGGGCUCUGUUCCGGUCGACCAAACCUUGCACGAUAAUGGAUCGCGCGUCGAAGCCUGGUUCUCUGGGGUCGACUGGAACCCUUCGCCCUGUACUGAACUGACGCCUGUCAUCUUGCUGCCGAGGAGCGUAAGACCCACCCCUUGGAGGGGAAUGGGGCACUCGACGCCUAUCAUCUCGGUCGAGUCGCUCACCAUAUUGGCCUUGCCGAUUCUCGUGCCCCUCACGCCGAUCUGGGACUGUGAGCCGACUGAACCGUAUUCGCAGUGACGGAUCGACUGUGAAUUCUGUUGCGCGACUGAGACACGGCUGAAUUCUGAUCUCCUGCUGCCCGGAGCAGAUCCCUGAUCUGCAGCAAACCUCUGCCGGCUUCCGACUGCGAAGGCUAGAUGGACUCUGCUAUACGGGUCGCAGCUGCUAAAUUCUGGAUUGGGGUUCGAUAUACCUGAGUCGGAGGGAAGAGUUGACGUCGACUGGUGUCGGGAACUCGUUGCCGCGCGCGCUCGUCGAGUGCUCGCUGAAGAUUCUCCAGUCGAGUGCGCUUGGCCAAAUUGGCCAGACGUGCCUCCUCCAAGGCACGAGCCUCGGGGGUUUCUCCUGCGAUGGGAGUACGCAGGGCAUCCACGUUCCUGCGGCGAAGUUCCUCUCUUUGCAGAGAGUCAAGUGGCUCGGGCUGGUACUCUUCGUGGCCUCGUGCGGGGUCGCCUCCGCCACCUGCUCCAUCAUCACGGGCGAAGCCAGGGGGACUGCGGGGCCCGUCGACCAUCAAGAUUUCCGCCGCUGGAUCACUGCUAUCGCACUCGGAUGCAGUCUCUACGGAGCCAGUCGACAGAUCGAACAAGCCGUAGAGAGAUUCGUCAGGCUCGAUUGCCGCAACUUGGAUGGUGGCCGAUUGGCGAGCCACCGCGUGCCUCACCCAUCGCUGAAGCCUCGACCGGCCCGAGCGCUUGCGCUGGCGGGAGACCGGGAGGGUGGACGAUGGAGGAGCCGACCGAUACGGGGUCGAUGGUUGCCGCAGCAGAACGCCGCGGACACAUGCGCGAAAAUGCAUCGCACCACGGAUGGGGAGCGCAUCAACGUCGAGUGGAGCCUCCUGGAGCCAGGCGGAGUUGUCGGCGAUGAAGGUGAGAGUACCGAGACAGAUCUCUCGACCCUCGACCAAAACUCCAGCAGCCACCACGACGAAAGUACUCGGAAGAAUCGCAACUUCUCCACAAAAUCGCUAAAACACCUGCCCCACGGUGGGCGCCAACUGUCGUGGUUCUAAGCCUGACAGUAGAGUGGGGGGUAGGAAUGGAGAGGCAAGGUCCUAGCUAUGGAGAGGUUGUAAACACCAGGGAUGUACGAGUUCAGGCCCUUCUCGGAAGAAGUAAUAGCCCUACGUCUCGGAGCCCGGAGACAGUACGUAUCCACGACUCCUGAUCCAUUCAUCGAUCCCUCAAUUUCAGUAGUUUCUUUACUAGGUAUUCAACUAUCCAUCUGAAGUUUCAAAUUUUUUAUGUAUACUCUUCUACAUAGUAUACAUUCAACCAUCCUAAUUUUUUAUGAUUACUCUUAUUAUUGUCCUAUAUAUAUAUAUAUAUAUAUAUAUAUGUUUAUGUAUCACACGCACACAUACAUAUAUAUGAUCUUACGACAUGGGGGCCCAUGUCGUCGAGUUCGCCUAGGGCCUCCCAAAACACAGGGCCGGCCCUGAACGUGUUGUACGGGUUGGGACCGUUAGCUGCGGGGUCGCUGCCUCCAUAUCUCCAACCAGCACCAAGCAGUAGGGGGCGUGUGUUUGGUAGGUCGCAUAGAGGCCAACCAGGCCGCGUGGAAAGAAAAUGAGCUAUUUGGUUGUGUGCGUUUACUGUUGGGUCCGCAUCGUAAGAAACUUAGAGCAUCUUCAACAGGCACUCAAAAAUUGCCUAUGCGCCGGAGACAGAAAAUAGUGCACGGGUGUGCGUGCAGGCUGCUGCAGGUGAGGCCGCCGACUUGGGCGCCAUGUUUGUGUGCAUCUGAAAAACGGAACCCCUUCGUUGUUCCCGCGCGUAAAAAGACUAUUUUGGCGUUGUAAAAGAAUUAUACCGCACCGAGGUGAAACGCGCCUGUUGGAGAUGCUCUCAAAGCAGCUCUCAGCCAGGCCCGCUAGGCACUGCCGAAUCGGCAGUUUCCAGCCAGUUAGGCUGAGUUGAGUCACAUCAAGCACACAUGAUGGGCCCCCUUGCACGAGAAUAUGCCAGUGCAAUGUAAGCUCCUCUCUAGUCUUAUUUCUUCCUCGUCCCUUCUAAUCUACACAACAGUGUUUCGAUUCGAGAUAAGCUCUACAUAAAAAAGAUGCAUAUCGAUUUUAUGCUUCCUUUCAGACGAUCAGUUUGUAGUUUUAUCUAUUGUAAAUGCUCAAUUUUGUGUUCAUGUAUGGAUCUAUUUUGGAUGAAUUUUGUCAAAUUUGUCGCGUACGGUCAACCGUUUGAAAUUUCCUUUGACAGUAGCUUCAUCUCGCAGUUUCACAUGACUUUUGUGUUGCAUAUUUUCUGUUUCGACGAUCGUAGACGAGUAGAUCUACAUCUUCCUCAUGAAUUGUAUAUAUGCAUAUGCGUGAUAUGUUUUAAUGACACUCCUUAGGGCAUCUCCAAUGAGGACCCUCAUUUCAUCCAACUAUAUAUCUGUCUAUCUAUGUACAGAAAAAAAUGUUGACCAUGCAUCAAUUGAGUGACACAUUUAAUAAUCAAUGUUGUUAAAUUCCGGUCGACUUGGUUAAUCUCAGUCGAUGCUAUAUUCAUAAGAUCUUGCUUUGUGUAAAAAAAAUAUUUUUAGUUUUUCCUUUUUCCUUUUUUCAUAUGGUAUGUCACAUGAUUGAGAUUUGGUUAACUCUCAGUCGACUAAGACCUAGCCGCAUCCUUUUAUAAUUCAGUCAAGUGACAAAUAGUUAAAUCAGAAGAAUAAUUGUCGAUGCCUUUUAUUCUCUCGUAUAUAUGAGUACAAAAUCAGCACAUAUGGCACCAUACAACAGCAAGUACGAUCGGUCGAGUGUAAAUCAAACAUUGCACAUUGAUCUAGGACUUGAAAGAACGAAGCACGUACGCUCGGUCUUUUAUUUUGGUCAGCAAUUAAGUUUCGCUCGUCGUGGCACGUAACAUCGCGCGUACGAUGGAACAUGCUAGGCGGCGGUGACGGCGAUCUUCAUGCCGGACUGGCAGUGUCCAGGAAUGCUGCAUAUGAAGUAGUUUGUGCCGCGUGCGAGGGUAACGCGGUCGG
This 16371-nucleotide long non-coding RNA is filed under the name Triticum aestivum (bread wheat). RNAcentral's name for it is "long non-coding RNA (TAES_LNC002129)". Lineage: Eukaryota; Viridiplantae; Streptophyta; Magnoliopsida; Poales; Poaceae. The record is from RNAcentral.